This 484-nucleotide ribosomal RNA is filed under the name uncultured bacterium. RNAcentral's name for it is "partial 16S ribosomal RNA". It matches the Rfam family "Bacterial small subunit ribosomal RNA", at positions 30 to 507 of the family's 1533-position model. The record is from RNAcentral.
AUUGAACGCUGGCGGCAGGCCUAACACAUGCAAGUCGAGCGGAUGAAGGGAGCUUGCUCCUGGAUUCAGCGGCGGACGGGUGAGUAAUGCCUAGGAAUCUGCCUGGUAGUGGGGGAUAACGUCCGGAAACGGGCGCUAAUACCGCAUACGUCCUGAGGGAGAAAGUGGGGGAUCUUCGGACCUCACGCUAUCAGAUGAGCCUAGGUCGGAUUAGCUAGUUGGUGGGGUAAAGGCCUACCAAGGCGACGAUCCGUAACUGGUCUGAGAGGAUGAUCAGUCACACUGGAACUGAGACACGGUCCAGACUCCUGCGGGAGGCAGCAGUGGGGAAUAUUGGACAAUGGGCGAAAGCCUGAUCCAGCCAUGCCGCGUGUGUGAAGAAGGUCUUCGGAUUGUAAAGCACUUUAAGUUGGGAGGAAGGGCAGUAAGUUAAUACCUUGCUGUUUUGACGUUACCGACAGAAUAAGCACCGGCUAACUUCGUG